UACAGAGGUCUCAAGCGUUGUUCAGAUUCAUUGGGCGUAAAGGGUGCGUAGGUGGCGGGGUAAGUCAGGUGUGAAAUCUCGGGGCUCAACCCCGAAACUGCACUUGAUACUGCCUUGCUCGAGUACUGGAGAGGAGAUUGGAAUUUACGGUGUAGCAGUGAAAUGCGUAGAUAUCGUAAGGAAGACCAGUGGCGAAGGCGAAUCUCUGGACAGUUACUGACACUGAGGCACGAAGGCCAGGGGAGCAAACGGG
RNAcentral lists this ribosomal RNA (253 nucleotides) under uncultured bacterium. Its description in RNAcentral is "partial 16S ribosomal RNA". It matches the Rfam family "Bacterial small subunit ribosomal RNA", at positions 524 to 776 of the family's 1533-position model. The record is from RNAcentral.